GAUGAACGCUAGCUACAGGCUUAACACAUGCAAGUCGCGGGGCAGCAUGAAUUUAGCUUGCUAAAUUUGAUGGCGACCGGCGCACGGGUGAGUAACGCGUAUCCAACCUUCCCAUGUCCACGGGAUAGCCCGUCGAAAGGCGGAUUAAUACCGUAUGAGGUCACAUGCGGGCAUCUAAGUGUGACGAAAGGUUUAGCGGACAUGGAUGGGGAUGCGUCCGAUUAGCUAGUUGGCGGGGUAACGGCUCACCAAGGCGACGAUCGGUAGGGGUUCUGAGAGGAAGGUCCCCCCACAUUGGAACUGAGACACGGUCCAAACUCCUACGGGAGGCAGCAGUGAGGAAUAUUGGUCAAUGGACGCAAGUCUGAACCAGCCAAGUAGCGUGCAGGAUGACGGCCCUAUGGGUUGUAAACUGCUUUUAUAAGGGAAUAAAGUGAGUCUCGUGAGACUUUUUGCAUGUACCUUAUGAAUAAGGACCGGCUAAUUCCGUAGCCAGCAGCCGACGG
Molecule: ribosomal RNA, 506 nt
Filed under: uncultured bacterium
Lineage: Bacteria
Description: bacterial SSU rRNA
Rfam family: Bacterial small subunit ribosomal RNA
Source: RNAcentral